RNAcentral lists this ribosomal RNA (407 nucleotides) under Philine orientalis. RNAcentral's name for it is "partial 16S ribosomal RNA". It matches the Rfam family "Archaeal large subunit ribosomal RNA", at positions 1920 to 2665 of the family's 2987-position model. The record is from RNAcentral. RNAcentral also lists the same sequence under 1 other name. Lineage: Eukaryota; Metazoa; Mollusca; Gastropoda; Cephalaspidea; Philinidae.
AGCCCUAAGAAAAUAAUUUUGGGUGAAGCCUGCCCUAUGAUCUAAUUAAAUGGCCGCGGUACUCUGACCGUGCUAAGGUAGCAUAAUCAAUUGGCUUUUAAAUGGAGUCUGGAAUGAAAGGAGAUACGGGGUACAGCUGUCUCUAUGCUUUUAUUACGAAUUUACUAAUCAGGUGAAAAGGCCUGAGAAAGAAAAAAGACGAGAAGACCCUUAGAGUUUUACUUUUUGUUGGGGCGACACAGAGUCACGAAAACACUCUGAUAUUUAUAUGACGGAUUUAUCAUGUUUAGAUAAACUACCUGAGGGAUAACAGCAUAAUCUUUUUAAGGUUUGUGACCUCGAUGUUGGACUAGGAAGUCUGCUAGCUAGCCGCUAGCAAGAGGGAUUCUGUUCGAAUUUUUACUCCU